This 903-nucleotide ribosomal RNA is filed under the name uncultured bacterium. RNAcentral's name for it is "bacterial SSU rRNA". It matches the Rfam family "Bacterial small subunit ribosomal RNA", at positions 1 to 900 of the family's 1533-position model. The record is from RNAcentral.
UAGAGUUUGAUCCUGGCUCAGGAUGAACGCUAGCUACAGGCUUAACACAUGCAAGUCGAGGGGCAGCGGUAUCGAAAGCUUGCUUUCGGUAGCCGGCGACCGGCGCACGGGUGAGUAACGCGUAUCGAACCUGCCUCAUACUCGGGAAUAGCCUUGCGAAAGUAAGAUUAAUGCCCGGUGUUUUCAGAGUCCCGCAUGAGGCUUUGAACAAAGAUUUAUCGGUAUGAGAUGGCGAUGCGUCCCAUUAGCUUGUUGGCGGGGUAACGGCCCACCAAGGCAUCGAUGGGUAGGGGUUCUGAGAGGAAGGUCCCCCACAUUGGAACUGAGACACGGUCCAAACUCCUACGGGAGGCAGCAGUGAGGAAUAUUGGUCAAUGGGCGGAAGCCUGAACCAGCCAAGUAGCGUGCAGGAAGACGGCCCUCCGGGUUGUAAACUGCUUUUAGUUGGGAAUAAAACGGGGCUCGUGAGCCCCCUUGCAUGUACCAUCAGAAAAAGGACCGGCUAAUUCCGUGCCAGCAGCCGCGGUAAUACGGAAGGUCCGGGCGUUAUCCGGAUUUAUUGGGUUUAAAGGGAGCGCAGGCGGACCUUUAAGUCAGCUGUGAAAUACGGCGGCUCAACCGUCGAACUGCAGUUGAUACUGGAGGUCUUGAGUGCACACAGGGAUGCUGGAAUUCAUGGUGUAGCGGUGAAAUGCUCAGAUAUCAUGAAGAACUCCGAUCGCGAAGGCAGGCAUCCGGGGUGCAACUGACGCUGAGGCUCGAAAGUGCGGGUAUCGAACAGGAUUAGAUACCCUGGUAGUCCGCACGGUAAACGAUGGAUGCCCGCUGUUGGUCUGAAUAGGUCAGCGGCCAAGCGAAAGCAUUAAGCAUCCCACCUGGGGAGUACGCCGGCAACGGUGAAAC